This 506-nucleotide ribosomal RNA is filed under the name uncultured bacterium. RNAcentral's name for it is "partial 16S ribosomal RNA". It matches the Rfam family "Bacterial small subunit ribosomal RNA", at positions 29 to 523 of the family's 1533-position model. The record is from RNAcentral.
AGUGAACGCUGGCGGUAGGCCUAACACAUGUAAGUCGAACGGCAGCACAGGAGAGCUUGCUCUCUGGGUGGCGAGUGGCGGACGGGUGAGGAAUACAUCGGAAUCUACUCUGUCGUGGGGGAUAACGUAGGGAAACUUACGCUAAUACCGCAUACGACCUACGGGUGAAAGCAGGGGACCUUCGGGCCUUGCGCGAUUGAAUGAGCCGAUGUCGGAUUAGCAAGUUGGCGGGGUAAAGGCCCACCAAGGCGACGAUCCGUAGCUGGUCUGAGAGGAUGAUCAGCCACACUGGAACUGAGACACGGUCCAGACUCCUACGGGAGGCAGCAGUGGGGAAUAUUGGACAAUGGGCGCAAGCCUGAUCCAGCCAUACCGCGUGGGUGAAGAAGGCCUUCGGGUUGUAAAGCCCUUUUGUUGGGAAAGAAAUCCAGCUGGCUAAUACCCGGUUGGGAUGACGGUACCCAAAGAAUAAGCACCGGCUAACUUCGUGCCAGCAGCCGCAGUAA